RNAcentral lists this ribosomal RNA (482 nucleotides) under Centipeda dianae. RNAcentral describes it as "bacterial SSU rRNA". It matches the Rfam family "Bacterial small subunit ribosomal RNA", at positions 28 to 483 of the family's 1533-position model. Lineage: Bacteria; Bacillati; Bacillota; Negativicutes; Selenomonadales; Selenomonadaceae. The record is from RNAcentral.
GACGAACGCUGGCGGCGUGCUUAACACAUGCAAGUCGAACGGAGCGAAUGGAAGCUUGCUUUUAUGAGCUUAGUGGCAAACGGGUGAGUAACACGUAGACAACCUGCCGACAGGAUGGGGACAACAUUCCGAAAGGAAUGCUAAUACCGAAUGAAGCGGAGGAGAGGCAUCUCUCUUCCGUGAAAGAUGGCCUCUGAACAUGCUAUCACCUGUCGAUGGGUCUGCGUCUGAUUAGCUGGUUGGUGAGGUAACGGCUCACCAAGGCGACGAUCAGUAGCCGGUCUGAGAGGAUGAACGGCCACAUUGGGACUGAGACACGGCCCAGACUCCUACGGGAGGCAGCAGUGGGGAAUCUUCCGCAAUGGGCGCAAGCCUGACGGAGCAACGCCGCGUGAGUGAAGAAGGUCUUCGGAUCGUAAAGCUCUGUUGACGGGGACGAACGUGCGAUGGGUGAACAAUCCAUUGCAAUGACGGUACCUGUC